This 409-nucleotide ribosomal RNA is filed under the name uncultured bacterium. RNAcentral describes it as "bacterial SSU rRNA". It matches the Rfam family "Bacterial small subunit ribosomal RNA", at positions 29 to 443 of the family's 1533-position model. The record is from RNAcentral.
AUUGAACGCUGGCGGCAUGCCUUACACAUGCAAGUCGAACGGUAACGCGGGGCAACCUGGCGACGAGUGGCGAACGGGUGAGUAACACAUCGGAACGUGCCCAGUAGUGGGGGAUAGCCCGGCGAAAGCCGGAUUAAUACCGCAUACGACCUAAGGGUGAAAGCAGGGGAUCGCAAGACCUUGCGCUAUUGGAGCGGCCGAUGUCAGAUUAGGUAGUUGGUGGGGUAAAAGCCUACCAAGCCGACGAUCUGUAGCUGGUCUGAGAGGACGACCAGCCACACUGGGACUGAGACACGGCCCAGACUCCUACGGGAGGCAGCAGUGGGGAAUUUUGGACAAUGGGCGCAAGCCUGAUCCAGCCAUGCCGCGUGCGGGAAGAAGGCCUUCGGGUUGUAACGCUUUGUCAGGG